GACGAACGCUGGCGGCGUGCCUAAUACAUGCAAGUAGAACGCUGAAGAGGGGAGCUUGCUCUUCGUGGAUGAGUUGCGAACGGGUGAGUAACGCGUAGGUAACCUGCCUUGUAGCGGGGGAUAACUAUGGGAAACGAUAGCUAAUACCGCAUAACAAUGGAUGACACAUGUCAUGUAGUUGAAAGGGGCAAUUGCUCCACUACAAGAUGGACCUGCGUUGUAUUAGCUAGUAGGUGAGGUAACGGCUCACCUAGGCGACGAUACAUAGCCGACCUGAGAGGGUGAUCGGCCGCACUGAGACUGAGACACGGCCCAGACGCCUACGGGAGGCAGCAGGAGGGAAUCUUAGGCAAUGGGGGCAAACCUGACCGAGCUGCGCCGCGUGAGUGAAGAAGGAUUUCGGAUCGUAAAGCUCUGUUGUAAGUCAAGAACGAGUGUGAGAGUGGAAAGUUCACACUGUGACGGUAGCUUACCAGAAAGGGACGGCUAACUACGUG
Molecule: ribosomal RNA, 497 nt
Filed under: uncultured bacterium
Lineage: Bacteria
Description: partial 16S ribosomal RNA
Rfam family: Bacterial small subunit ribosomal RNA
Source: RNAcentral